GACUAAUUACCCGAGUAGUCCUGGCUGUAAACUCUGCGAGCUAGGUGUUGCGCAUUCUUCGAGAGUGUGCAGUAUCGUAGCGAAGGCGUUAAGCUCGCCGCCUGGGAAGUAUGGGUCGCAAGACUGGAAACUUAAAGGAAUUGGCGGGGAAGCACUACAAGGGGUGCGGCGUGCGGUUCAAUCGAAUUCAACACCGAAAAUCUCACCAGCAGCGACGGCAGAAUGAAGGUCAGAUUGAAGGUCUUACCUAACAAGCCGAGAGGUGGUGCAUGGCCGCCGUCAGCUCGUGCCGUAAGGUGUCCAUUUAAGUAUGGUAACGAGCGAGAUCUGUGCUCACUAUUGCUAACGAGUUCUUUAGAAUGAUCGAGCACAUUGUGAGGACUGCCUUGGAAACAAGGAGGAAGGUGCAGGCUACGGUAGGUCUGUAUGCCCCGAAUCUGCUGGGCUACACGCGCGCAACAAUGGUAGGAACAAUGGGAUACGACCCCGAAAGGAGAAGUUAAACCUCGAAAUCCUAUCCAAGUCCAAAUCGAGGAUUGUAACUCAUCCUCGUGA
This 555-nucleotide ribosomal RNA is filed under the name uncultured euryarchaeote. Its description in RNAcentral is "bacterial SSU rRNA". It matches the Rfam family "Archaeal small subunit ribosomal RNA", at positions 727 to 1279 of the family's 1478-position model. Lineage: Archaea; Methanobacteriati; Methanobacteriota. The record is from RNAcentral.